RNAcentral lists this ribosomal RNA (484 nucleotides) under uncultured bacterium. RNAcentral's name for it is "partial 16S ribosomal RNA". It matches the Rfam family "Bacterial small subunit ribosomal RNA", at positions 30 to 507 of the family's 1533-position model. The record is from RNAcentral.
AUUGAACGCUGGCGGCAGGCCUAACACAUGCAAGUCGAGCGGUAGAGAGAAGCUUGCUUCUCUUGAGAGCGGCGGACGGGUGAGUAAUGCCUAGGAAUCUGCCUGGUAGUGGGGGAUAACGUUCGGAAACGGACGCUAAUACCGCAUACGUCCUACGGGAGAAAGCAGGGGACCUUCGGGCCUUGCGCUAUCAGAUGAGCCUAGGUCGGAUUAGCUAGUUGGUGAGGUAAUGGCUCACCAAGGCGACGAUCCGUAACUGGUCUGAGAGGAUGAUCAGUCACACUGGAACUGAGACACGGUCCAGACUCCUACGGGAGGCAGCAGUGGGGAAUAUUGGACAAUGGGCGAAAGCCUGAUCCAGCCAUGCCGCGUGUGUGAAGAAGGUCUUCGGAUUGUAAAGCACUUUAAGUUGGGAGGAAGGGUUGUAGAUUAAUACUCUGCAAUUUUGACGUUACCGACAGAAUAAGCACCGGCUAACUCUGUG